Long non-coding RNA from Orcinus orca (killer whale), 3332 nucleotides. RefSeq lists it as uncharacterized. The transcript has 2 exons. Lineage: Eukaryota; Metazoa; Chordata; Mammalia; Artiodactyla; Delphinidae. The record is from RefSeq and is a predicted model, not a curated record.
CAAAAACCAAAACAUAAACAGGACAGCUCCAUGUAAAAGAAUGAAAUCAGAACACUCCCUAACACCAUACACAAAAAUAAACUAAAAAUGGACUAAAGACCUAAAUAUAAGGCCAGACACUAUAAAAGUCUUAGAGGAAAACAUAGGCAGAACACUCUAUGACAUAAAUCACAGCAAGAUCCUUUUUGACCCACCUCCUAGAGAAAUGGAAACAAAAACAAAAAUAAACAAUUGGAACCUAAUGAAACUUAAAAGCUUUUGCACAGCAAAGGAAACCAUAAACAAGACGAAAAGGCAACCCUCAGAAUGGGAGAAAAUAUUUGCAAAUGAAGCCACUGACAAAAGGUUAAUCUCCAAAAUUUACAAGCAGCUCAUGCAGCUCAAUAUCAAAAAAACAAACAACUCAAUCCAAAAAUGGGCAGAAGACCUAAACAGACAUUUCUCCAAAGAAGAUAUACAGAUUGCCAACAAACACAUGAAAGAAUGCUCAACAUCAUUACAUCAUUAAUCAUUAGAGAAAUGCAAAUCAAAACUACAAUGAGAUAUCAUCUCACACCGGUCAGAAUGGCCAUCAUCAAAAAAUCAACAAACAAUAAAUACUUCAGAGGGUGUGGAGAAAAGGGAACCCUCUCACACUGUUGGUGGGAAUGUAAAUUGAUACAGCCACUAUGGAGAACAGUACAGAGGUUCCUUAAAAAACUAAAAACAGAACUACCAUACAACCCAGCAAUCCCACUACUGGGCAUAUACCCUGAGAAAACCAUAAUGCCAAGAGUCAUGUACCACAAUGUUCAUUGCAGCUCUAUUUACAAUAGCCAGGACAUGGAAGCAACCUAAGUGUCCAUCGACAGAUGAAUGGAUAAAGAAGAUGUGGCACAUAUAUACAACAAAAUUUUACUCAGCCAUAAAAAGAAAUGAAAUUGAGUUAUUUGUAGUGAGGUGGAUGGACCUAGAGUCUGUCCUACAGAGUGAAGUAAGUCAGAAGGAGAAAAACAAAUACUGUAUGCUAACACAUAUAUAUGGAAUCUAAAAAAUAAAUAAAUAAAAGUGGUCAUGAAGAACCUAGGGGCAAGAUGGGAAUAAAGACACAGACCUGUUAGAGAAUGGACAUAUAUACACUGCCUGUGUUUCAAGACUAUUCUACAACAUGCUCAUUGAUUGUAAGUUGCCUUACAGGCUUUCCUUUGAAUUCCUGUUUUGAUUGAUUUAGCCAGAGCUGGUGUCUGUUUUUUGCAACCCCACAACUCCAACAAUUACUUGGUCAGUGGGGAAAAUGCUGCAUGUUCUGUGAGGUUGGAAGUGAACAGAAGCUGUUGUCAGAGUUAUGGGAAUCUUUCUGUGAAGUCAUCACUGUCAUCAGGAAUAACAGUCCCUCUUCAUUGGUUUCUGUGAAGGGUAUUGUCUUUCUUGUUCUGACCCUGCUCUUCUGACUGCAACCCCCCAAGAGUCUUUCUGGGCCCCAUGCACUCUGGUGUGCCACCGAAGGUAUGGGUGGCCAUGUCCUUUAGAGAAGAAACACAUCAAGAACUUGGGUCCUGGAUGAUUCUGCUAAACACCUGAAUUAAGCAGUGCUGAUUAAGCCAUCUCUUCUGGACUUCUUUUAAUGAGUGUAAAUAAGUUUUCAUUUUGGUUAAAUUGCUUCUAGUUGAGUGUUCUGUUGCACCUAAAAAAUGCAAAUAGUUAAUAGUCAUUAUAUUUUUGAGUACUUACCCUUUAAACGCUCUAUUUAAAGUAAGACUUUUAAUAAUCUGAACACUCAGAAAGAUAAUUAUUAAUAUUUUAACAUUAUAGGCGGGAAAACAGACUCAUAAAGAUUAAGCAACAUGAUCCAAGAUUAUAUGGUCUGUCAGUCAGGGUCCUAAGGAAAACAGGUGGUAUACUCAAAUUAAGAUAAUGUGAGGAAGGUUCAUUUACAAAGAGAGUAACUACAGAGUUUGGGGAGUGGUGUAGGGGAAUCAUAGAGCUAGUGUAGGAAGCCAGGGCUAGAAGAGUGGAACUGUUACAGGGAGAGGUUACCUGAAACUGGAAGAAGAGAUAGUCAGGUCGAGCAGUCUUCCUUGAGUGGAGCAGUGAACCUCGAAGGAGGGUUAUGGUCAUCUUGAUGUGACCUCACAGGGAGUGAUCCUUACCCUGACCUCACUCUCCUUCCUCCCUCUACUCUUCUGUCAGGCAGAGCCCACUGAGCUAUUGGAUGUAGUCCAAACAGACUAACUUGCAGGGGCAGAGAGCAAGGUGGAGAAAGAUAGGGAGGUAGAGGGACAAUUGGAAAAUAUCUGUUGUGGUCCAGCCUGUUUGCCCCCUACUGUCCUCUCUUGUCUGAAAUGCAGGUCAAAUGUCAUGACCUCAACACAAGAGAUGCCCAAAGUUCCAUCAGCUAUUUAUCAUCAUGGGAUGAUGUUCAUUUGUUCAUAAUUUCACUUUAAACCUAAACAAUUAGCCAUCAACAGUGCCCUCAUAUAAAGUAACAGGAGGGAAAUGGGAAGAUAAAAACAAGUAAUAUAAAAUAUAGCUGUUACAAUCCCUGCUUCUAUAAGUGGACCCAAUGCCAGUUGCCUCUUUCUAAGCCAGAGUGUGCUCCUUGGCUGUGCUUUUCCUUAGCUCAUUCAUUCCAAAGGCAGACUAUUUAAUUAUUGGUUCUGGGGCUACAAAGAUAAAUCAAUCACUUAUCCUCACUAAAAGAGUUCACUUUGCAAUAGUUGAAACAGUUGUUUAAUUUUAAAUCUAGGGUAAUAAGGGGUAAGUAUAUACGUGAUCUCAGGUUUGUGAUGGCAUUAAAAGAACAAGAACAAUAAUGAAAGCAACUCUGCUUUAACUGGGUUUUUUUUCACCCUUGAGAUUAUUAAUUAUCAAUAAUGGAUAAUUCUUUGCUGUUGGAGGCUGUCUUGUGCCUUGUAGGGUGUUUAGCACCAUCCCUGUCUUCUACCCACUAGGUACUAGUAGCACCCCGUCCCCAUCGUGACAAGCAAAAACGUCUCCAGACAUUGCCAAGUGUCCCAUGGGGGUGAUUUAUUGCCCAGUAGAAAACCACUGGCUUAAAAGGUAAAGAAAGAGGUCAUUGCGUGUAUGUGCAAUAACAUAUUUAUCUGUCUCCAAGUAAUGGUCAUUUAGUUAGAUGGGAAUUCUCUUUUUUGUUGUUGUUACAAAUAAACCUUCAGUGAACAUACUCUCUUUGUGUACUUGGGCAGAUAUGUCUGCAUGGUAAAUUUCUAAAAGUGAACUUGCUGGGUUAUAAAAUGCGUUUAGGAUUGUGGUGUUCUCAAAAUGUCUUCUAAGGAGAUGAAUGAAUAGUGUUACCUUUACGACUUUAUUAAAAUAUUCUUUUUUGAAUUGCC